RNAcentral lists this transfer RNA (69 nucleotides) under Acinetobacter baumannii. Its description in RNAcentral is "tRNA-Asn". It matches the Rfam family "tRNA". Rfam says of the family: Transfer RNA (tRNA) molecules are approximately 80 nucleotides in length. Their secondary structure includes four short double-helical elements and three loops (D, anti-codon, and T loops). RNAcentral also lists the same sequence under 18 other names. Lineage: Bacteria; Pseudomonadati; Pseudomonadota; Gammaproteobacteria; Moraxellales; Moraxellaceae. The record is from RNAcentral.
UCUCCCAUAGCUCAGUCGGUAGAGCGACGGACUGUUAAUCCGCAGGUCCCUGGUUCGAGCCCAGGUGGG